This is an RNA transcript of Zootermopsis nevadensis, 2871 nucleotides long. It is a transcript of the gene named GTP-binding protein Rit2, with no coding region annotated. The record is from RefSeq and is a predicted model, not a curated record. NCBI's taxonomy places the organism in Eukaryota, Metazoa, Arthropoda, Insecta, Blattodea, Termopsidae.
GCGGUUGGGUGUGGGUAGGUGAUAGUGGGGUGUAUUUUUUAUCUGUUGAAACUGGGAGGGGUUCCGUUUUUACCGAUACAAACCCUAGGCCAUUUCUGAAUGGUCUAGGGUAAAUACAAAGUUACACUUUUGAUGUACAGAAAUAAAUUAACGUAUGUUGUUGAAAAUGCCUACCAGUAUUGUUUUAAUGAGUGUGGUGAAAGUGGUUGAAUAAUUGUCGGGAACAGUUGGACGACAAAUUCCGCGAGCACAGCAGCGCUGGCGACUGUACAAGCGGGCCCGUCUGGGUCCGGUGGUGUAUCUGUAACUCUUGGCCGAAGACCCACCAAAAUGGGAGCGUUCGACUGCGGCGGAACGGACCGAGACGGACGGGGCGGGUCUCAGGGAAUGCAUAUGCCAGUACCUAGUCAAACCCGUGGUGGUUUACGGGUAUAUAAAAUUGUCGUACUUGGAGAUGGUGGUGUUGGAAAGUCAGCUUUGACGCUGCAGUUCGUGAAACACAGAUUUUUAGACUACCACGAUCCAACAAUAGAGGAUGCAUACCAGCAACAAGCAGUCAUCGAUGGUGAAGCAUCCCAGUUGGAUAUUUUGGACACAGCUGGACAAGUGGAAUUUACUGCCAUGAGAGACCAGUACAUGCGAUGUGGAGAAGGCUUCAUGAUUUGCUAUUCUGUUACUGACAGGCAUAGCUUUCAAGAAGCCGUGGAGUAUCGAAAAUUAAUCACGCGGGUCCGGGCUUCUGAAGACAUACCUUUAGUCCUUGUCGGAAACAAAUUUGAUCUUCAGCAUCAAAGAAAGGUGUCUCCAGAAGAGGGACAAGCACUGGCAUCACAAUUCGGCUGCCCAUUCUACGAGACGUCCGCGGCAGUAAGACAGUAUGUGGAUGACGCCUUUCACACUCUUGUACGUGAGAUCCGUCUAAAGGAACACGAACAUCACCACACCAACAACAAACUUCAUAAACAUAGUCGGUGGCGCAGGUUGCGUUCCAUAUUCACCAUCGUCUUUAAACGCCGGCGUAAUUACUCACCCUGAAAUGUCUAUGAUCUAUCUAUACAUCAAAAUGCUGGGGCCAGGAAACAACCAAGGAGCAUCAUAUGCCUACUAAAUGGUCUGGUCUGUCCACUAAAAUCAAAAGCAGCGGGAUUUAAAGAAGAAACUGCGAUGUUUUGGAAACUGGCCCUGCUUCCAUCUGGCGAGAGGUACCUACUCAGUUGGGUCCAUCAGAUAGAGCUAGUCUCCAUCCAUCAAGGUUCCGAAACGUCAUGGUUGCUUCUUUUAAACAAGGAUGAUGGAAAAAGUCCAGACAAUGAAUAAUUUUAAAUCACAUUUAGUUUAAGAUAAUCUCAACUGAAAUUAUAUAAUAUUUUAGCCAUCAUAUCACUUAUGUGGCUGUGAAAUGUGGACAUUUAAACAAAGGUAUAUGAGAACUGCAGAGAUGAAAUUCAUGAGAUGCAUAACAGAAUAAAGUUUUAUUAUAUUUUAGAAGAACGUGAUAUGGGCCUAAUAAAAAAUAGAUAAUUUUGCAGUUUAAACAAAACUGUUUAAUGUUAGACUGGAAAAAAAAAUCAGACACCCAGAACAACUUCUCGACUACAAACCUGUUGGAAAAUGGAAGACCUGGACAAUUAACCAAGAGACUACUAGUCAGUUAAAAUCUUGAGGUUGAAAGAAGUCGUCCAUUGGCCUAACUUUGUGACUAGAAGAAAAAGGAGAUGAAAUAUUGGAGUUCUUUAGAGGCUGUGAGGUCUGGCAGUCAAGAAACUGGAUUGAUUCUGUAAAAGAAAUACUGCUUCUUAACCUUCAGUUAAUUUUAUUCUAUAAUGUCACAUGAUUUUGUUUGUGUGGAGCUGUCUGCUCCAAGUGAAUCCAUAAAACAGAGGGAAAUAGAAAAGGUGAGAUAUGGGCGGAACAUUACAUGCCAGAGCCAGAAAAAAAAAGCAGCACUGAAUAUUUUAAUGAGACUAAAGUUUGAUUUGACGUUUUCACGGCGGUGAGUCCGAAAACGGCUGUCACCUGGGUUGUUGCGCCAUGUAGUCUGGUAGAAGUGAGAAGCCCUGAUGAUGGAGGCAGCAACAAUCUCUGAAACGUUGGUAAACUUCUGCCAGACUACGCGGUGCAACAAGCCAGAAGACGGCCAUCUUCAGACUAAAGUUUCUCAGAUUAUGGCCUGCUGUAAAUGUACAGGGUGAUCGGAACAGAAUUUCUAUCACAUGUAAAAGAGUAUUUAUUAGACGAUGAAAAUGUUAAUGUUCGCUUUCUAUUAGUCAUAACUCUUCAGUAAUACAAAAUGAAGUGGGAGUUUUACUGAUGAUAAGCAAGCAGAACUUUUUUGUUGCCACUGAAGUUCAUAAAACAUUUUAUAUGCAUUUCAACAAAGAUUUAUGCUUGGUAUAGUAAUUUUGUUGAGACAGUAUGUUGUGUUAGUUCCGCACAAAGGAAAAUGGUUGGUCGGCUGUGAGUGAGGAAAUAGAGCAGAUGAAGAUCUGUGUCUCUAGAAGUCCUAGCAGGACAGUACACAUCCACAUUUUCAUGUCAUUGUACAAUAAUUUCUAAAUGAUUUGUCAGGCAAGCCAACUGCAUAGCCUCCUUCAUCGCCUGACCUUACACUAAUGGGCAUUUUGUGGGGAUUUGUUAAGACAAAAUGUUCAAGCCACCUUUACCUAACAGACAAGAUUACUAAAGUCAUAACACACAUUAUACCUGGCAUGUUGCUUGUGUAUGGGAGGAGUGUAUCGAUGGGAUGUCUGUCGUGUCGCUGCUGGCAGCCGUACUGAACUGCCGUUAGCGUCAAAACAUUGUCUGGCUAUAUUAUUAUUAUUAUUUGUAAUUUAUUGAAAGUUAUAACAUUAAAGUUUUAUUGCCUUGGAA